Molecule: ribosomal RNA, 253 nt
Filed under: uncultured bacterium
Lineage: Bacteria
Description: partial 16S ribosomal RNA
Rfam family: Bacterial small subunit ribosomal RNA
Source: RNAcentral
UACGAAGGUGUCAAACGUUGUCCGGAAUAACUGGGCGUAAAGGGCGCGUAGGCGGUCGCGUAAGUCAGAUGUGAAAGCUCUGGGCUCAACCCAGGAAUUGCAUUUGAUACUGCGUGACUUGAGUUCGGUAGAGGAGGGCGGAAUUCCAGGUGUAGCGGUGAAAUGCGUAGAUAUCUGGAGGAACACCCGUGGCGAAGGCGGCUCUCUGGUCCGAUACUGACGCUGAGGCGCGAAAGGUAGGGUAGCAAACAGG